AUUUUAUUGUGUGGAGACUAAAUUUGAAUUUACAUUUUUUAAAAUUGUUCAAGUAUUUGCAUUUGAUUAUCUGUGCAUUAUUUUUAUAUUUUCUCUAUUGAAAAACUGUUUUCCUAGAUUAUCUUUUUGAGUACUUGGAGAUGUAGAGGAAUUAAUUAAUUUUUUUAUGUGUAUAGCUUGUACCCAUUUUUAUCAAGAGAUGAAAAAAUAGAGAGAAUAAAGGAGAGAAGGGUAUGGGUGCAGGGGAAGGAAAUAUAGGGAGAGAAAUAAGGGAGAGAGGGUCAGGGUAAAAAAAUAAUAGAAGGGACUAAAGAGUUAACAGAAUCAAAUUACUGAAACUAACUAAUGCGUUUUUUAAAAUAUAGGGAACAACUAAUUAGUUUCACUAAAAUAUAGGGACUAAAUAGUAGUAUGAAUAGUAUGAAUAACAAAAACUUGACAUAGGACUAAAUAGUUUAAUGAAAGUAAAAUACAGGGGGCUAAAUGGUAAUUUUUCCUUAAUAUUUUGAGUACCACUGAGAUUGUACAAAAAUAUGGCGUCAAUUUGCUUUCUAUGUGAUCUUAUAACCACCAAGGAGAAAAUGAUUGUGAUGGAAUACAUAUUUUUAUGUAUGUCUUUGCUUUUGGCUUAAUGUUGGGUCUUUAAUUCAUUAUUAUUGUGGUUGUUGUUGUUGUGGCGGUGGUGUACUGGUGAUAGAAGAGUACAAUAUUUUCUCCAAUGGUAGAAUUGUAAUUGUCCUCCAUGGGUUAGAUUCAACAUAAUAUCUGAUCUAUUGAAAUAAUUUCUUUCUGAGCAGUGGGCCUACUGUAGAGUAUUAUUUGACAAAUGUUUAAUUCUUUUUAAGUCCAUUCUUAAGCUAUAAAAUGGGAUAGUCCUCCGUCUCAUAGGCCUUCUUAUUCUAGCAGUUUACAAUAUGGUGCUAAUUAGCUAAUUGUAAUUUAAACUUUAGAUGAGGUUCUUAGCUUAUUGGAUUUCAGGUCUGACUUAGCAGUGAUCAGGGGAAGUUCAAAAUGGAAAACAAAGAAUUGAACCUUAUCCAUCAUGGAGAAUUAAAAUCAACAGACAGUUUCACCUGAAAAUUUCUCAAUUUUAUUAAGUUGUGUUAAGCAAAGUAUCAUUCAUUCGAGAGUGAAUGUGUUUCCUUAACCCUCAUAAGCAGAAUGCCAUAGUGAUUACCCUUUUGCUGUUCUAGGUAUGUCAACCGUGCAUUGUAUCUUUUGCAUUUAACAUGUGGGCCAUCUCAUCCAAAUACGGCUGCCACAUAUAUCAAUGUAGCAAUGAUGGAAGAAGGAUUGGGGAAUGUCCAUCUCGCUCUUAGGUACCUCCAUGAGGCUCUGAAGUGUAAUCAGCGACUACUUGGUGCUGAUCAUAUACAGACUGCUGCCAGCUACCAUGCUAUAGCAAUUGCUCUAUCUUUGAUGGAAGCUUACUCCUUGAGCGUUCAGCAUGAACAAACUACACUGCAGAUACUGCAAGCGAAACUUGGGUCUGAAGAUCUACGCACACAGGAUGCAGCUGCAUGGCUUGAGUAUUUUGAGUCCAAGGCUCUGGAGCAACAAGAAGCUUCACGCAAUGGAACCCCAAAGCCAGAUGCCUCAAUAUCCAGUAAAGGUCAUUUAAGGUAAUAAUUAUAAGUUUAAAAGGGGAUUUAUUUAUUUAUAUUAUUUUAUUUUGUUUUUGAUUUCCUUUAUGUGAAUAAGAAUACCAGACAUUAUGCUAUCGGCUGGGAAAAUUAAAUGAGCAUCUAUUUGUAUUUAUAGGUUCCUAAUGUUUCUUAUCUGCAGUUAGUAUUAUUGCUUAUUUAAAAAAUUAGGCAGAGUUUAUAUGAUUGGCAUGAUAAUUCAUGUUCAAGUCUAAAAGUGGCCAUUGAUAUCAAAUAUAAUCUUAUACUUGUAUUUUUUAUAAUUCAAAUGGUUUUCUAAGAAGAGCUUUUAGUGGGUUUCUCUCUUUUUGUUGUUUUUGGCUUCUGGAAAUGAUGUUAUCUGCUUGUGGAAUCAAAACCACUGCUACCCAAACCUCCUACCUGAUUAGAGUGGGCAGAUGAAUUUGAUAGUCUUUCCACAACUAAAUGUAAUAUUUUCUCAUUUUGGAUCAGUGUAUCAGACCUUUUGGAUUAUAUAACGCCAGAUGCAGAUAUGAAAGCAAGAGAAGCUCAAAAGAAAGCUCGUUCAAAGGUGAUAAAUUUCUUUAGUUGGAUCUAUUCUCUCACGUUACUUGUUUUAACAUAUUCUUCUACCUAAAAUUUCAUCACACAGGUUAAAGGCAAACCAGGUCAAAACUGGGAAACAGUCUUAGAUGAAUCUCAGAAAGAUGAAACUUUCUCACCAAUCUAUCCUGUUUUGGAGAAUUCAAGUGAUAAGGAAAACAAAUCUGAGGUUCAGUUUGCAGAAAUUAGGAAUGAGAGUACUGAUUCAAGUCUCCCAGAUCAGUCAAUAAUUAAUAUGAGUGAUGAUAAAAUACAGGAGGAUGAGUCAAAUGAAGGAUGGCAAGAAGCUGUACCUAAAGGCCGUUCACCUACAAGUCGGAAAUCUUCUGGUACAAGGAGGCCAAGCCUAGCUAAACUAAAUACUAACUUUAUGAAUGUGUCCCAGUCAUCAAAAUUCCGAGGAAAGCCCACCAAUUUUACAUCCCCAAGGACAAGCCCAAAUGAUUCUGCUGCUUUUACUGGACCCAGUAUUCCUGUUCCUAAAAAGUUUGUUAAAAGUGCUAGCUUCAGUCCAAAGAAAAAUAAUUCUGGUGCUGCAGGUGGUGGAAUAGAGAAAUCAAUUGACCCUAAAUCAGCCCCAGCUACUCCUGCUUCAACUGAUCAAAUUUCCAAAUCAGUUUCAGUGGCAAGUCCUGUAAGUGUUCAGGCAGCUGGAAGACUCUUCUCCUACAAAGAAGUUGCUGUAGCUCCUCCUGGUACAAUUGUGAAGGCAGUUGCAGAACAGCUGCCAAAAGAAAAUCUUCCUAUAGAACCAAGUCCUCAGUUAAGCCAUAAGGCAGCUGCAUCAGAGGUCAAUAUUGGUGGAGUGACUGAGUUGAAAGACGUAGAGGAAGAAAAAGUAGAGAACCCUGAAGGAGAGAGAAAACCACUUGGCUCUGAGGAAAGAAAAGAUCCCAUCAAUGGAGAGCCAGAAACAGAAAUAGGGAAUUCAGAGGUGAUGGAACCACUGGAAGGAACAAAAUGUGUGCAUGAUGAUCACGUAGAUAAAGAAGCUGUGAUAUUUGAAAAUAAAACUGCUGAUGCUGAAGUUACAAAUGUUAGAGUUCUGAGAAAUGAGAAUUUAGACACUUCCAAAGAUUCAAAUGCCUCUUCUUCUAAAAGUGAUGCGUUGGAAACAAGAGAUUUAGACCUUUGCCCAUCAGUUUCCCCUGAUCCAGAACCUCUACCUGUGUUAUCUGAAAAUGCAGCUUUGUUGGUAGAAAAAGAUACUUCAGUUCCAAGUGAAAAACUAAUAGAUGAGAAUUCUCAGGAUCUAUCUAGGGACACGAGUGAUAAGGCAUUGACAACUGAAGUAGAAAAACAAGAUGAAGCAGAAACUGGAAAGGAGACAACAAAGAAACUUUCUGCAGCUGCACCGCCAUUUAAUCCAUCCACAGUUCCAGUUUUUGGCUCAGUUACUGUUCCAGGGUUCCAAGAUCAUGGAGGAAUUCUUCCUCCACCGUUGAAUAUUCCUCCAAUGCUUACAGUUAAUCCUGUCCGCAGAUCACCUCACCAGUCAGCGACAGCUAGGGUUCCCUAUGGUCCAAGGCUAUCUGGUGGCUAUAAUAGAUCUGGGAAUCGGGUUCCACGUAACAAACCUACCUUCCACAGUGGUGAACAUAAUGGGGAUGGGAAUCACUUCAGCCCUCCUAGAAUAAUGAACCCUCAUGCUGCUGAAUUUGUGCCAGGCCAACCUUGGGUUCCCAAUGGCUAUCCUGUGUCACCAAAUGGUUACUUGGCUACCCCAAAUGGUAUGCCAGUGUCUCCAAAUGGUUUCUCCAUGUCUCCAACAAGUAUUCCAGUGUCACCAAAUGGAUUUCUAGCAUCAUUGAAUGGUAUUCCAGCGGUGCAAAAUGGCUUUCCAGCAUCUCCAGUCAGUUCAGUAGAAACACCCACAUUGGUUCCCAUCGACUUAGGUGCUGAAAACAAAGGUGAAGCUGCAGGAGAAACUAGUGCUGAAAAUUCCUUGACAGAAAACCAGCCAAGUGAGCAAAAAUGUCAUGAACCAGAUGAAAAUGCACAUCCUGAAAGUGAAGAAAAGCCUACAAAUAUAGCCCCUUUGACUGGUGAUAAUGCUAUGGCAAAAGAAACGUGCAACAGCAUAUUGAUUGAGGAGAAACCAAGCAAGUGCUGGGCAGAUUACAGUGACAGUGACGGUGAGAUUGUUGAGGUUACUAGUUGAAUGAAGGCAUAUAUUUUUUUCCUUUUUUUUUUUCUUAGACGUUAAGCGAUUUCCUUGCAACACAAGCUCCAUGGCAAUGAAAAGAGAGAGAACAAGUUGACAGUUGAGGGAGGCCCCUGUAAUGACUGGAAAAACUGUUUUAAGUUUGACAUAGUCAAGUUUAGGCCUUGAAAUUGUGAAUGUUUUCGGAUACAUUUUGGUUUUGCUGCAUUGAGGGAGGAGAAUCCUUGAUGGAGAGAUUUGUUAAUGAAAAUUACCAUCACCGUGAAAGAAUCUGUUGAGCAGCUCGUAGCUAAAUUAGUGAGUCUCUGCCUUCUUAUAAUUUUGUUUUGUCAUUCUCCUGCUAUAUUUUUUGUUUGUUGUCAACUCAAAAUAAAAUAACCUUUGAAGAUUUAUACAUUCCAAGUCGUACUCUUAGUAAAUUCACAACCAUUUUUAAGGUAUGCAAUAAAUUUCAACUAUGUUCCAUGUAUAACAAUAUAUAACUUUGUAGCAGCACUUGAUUUUAUU
Molecule: unclassified non-coding RNA, 4878 nt
Filed under: Hevea brasiliensis (rubber tree)
Lineage: Eukaryota; Viridiplantae; Streptophyta; Magnoliopsida; Malpighiales; Euphorbiaceae
Source: RNAcentral